CAACCCCUGCUUUUUUUUUGCUUUACAUUUUCUUGAUAAAUAACCAAAGGGUGAGUGGUUGACAGAGUGAGCCAGGCCUCGAGCGGUACUAUUGGGAGGUUGUGGGGAACACACAGACACAGGCACCCGUGAGAGCUAGAAGCACGCCACACCAGGGCGGGUCACGGUUCCCGCCCUGCAGAAGCCGUGAGGCCAGCAUGUGUUGGUCUGUACUGCCCGGCCUGUGGUGAGUUGUCACACAACUAAUGCAAGUCCAGGCAGCAGAACGUGAACAGAGCCUCAUGGGCACAGCUCUUCGGCAAUUACUGGCGCAUCUCAUUUUAUUGCACUUCAUUGUGCGUUUUAUAAAUUACAGGCGUGUGGCAGCCCCACUAGAGCAACCCUGUCAGUGCCACUCUUCCAGCAGCACGCCCACUCCACAUCUCCACGUCUCCUUGUGGUAAUUCUCGCAAUACCUCAAACUGUUAUUGUAUGUGUUAUGGUGACCUGUAGUGUCACGACUAUCUCGGGGAGCCCAUAUGAAACGGUGAACUUGAUUGAUAAAUGUGAAUGUUCUGACGGCUCUGCUGGUUGGCUGUCCCUCCCCACUCCCCAGCCCCCACCCCACCACUCUUCAGGCCUCCCUAUUCCCUGAGGCACAACAUUGAAAUUAGGUCAACUAAUAACCCCACAGUGGCCUCUAAGUGUUCAAGUGAAAGGAAGAGUUGCAAGUCUCUCACUUUAAAUCAAAAGCUAGAAAUGUUUAAGCUUAAUGAGGAAGGCACAUUGAAAGCCAAGACUGGCAGGAGAGGCCCAGCUUUCAGCCUAACAGUUAGCCAAGUUGUGAAUGCAAAGGAAAAGUUAUUUAAGGAAAUUAAAAGUGGUCCUCCAGUGAACACACAAAUGAUAGUGAAACAGCCUUUUGCAGAUAGGGAGAAAGUGUUAGUGGUCUGACAGAUCAAACCAGCCACAACAUUCCCUUAAGCCAAAGCCUAAUACAGAGCGAGGUCCUGACUCUCCUCAAUUCUGUGAAGGCUGAAUGAUGUGAGGAAGCUGUGAACAAAAGUUUGAAGCUAGCAGAGGUUGGUCCACAAGGUUUAAGGAAAGAAGCCGUCUCUGUAAUAGUAUGAGGUGAGGCAGCAGGCUCUCCAGAAGAUCCUGCUAAAGUCACAAUGGAGGUGGCCACACUCAACCAUAGACCUUCAGUGUAGAGGAAGCAACCUUGAACUGGAAGAAGACACCAUGCAUGACUUUCAUAGGUAGGGAGAAGUCAGUGCCUGGCUUCAGAGCUUCAAAAGACAGUCUGACUCUUAUUAGAGGCUAAUGCUGCUGUGACUUUAAAACCCAUUUAUGCCUAGUGUUCCAUUAUUGCAAUGCUAAGCAUGUGGGAGUUUAUAUUCUGCUUAAGGUCACUGUCAAGGUCUGCAAAAAUUUAAAAAAUUGCAACUUCAGCCAUAAAUGGGUUAAGUUGAAGGCAGUGCUCACCAUUCUGAGAAUCCUAGGAUUCUUAAGAAUGAGGCUAAAUCUGCUCUGCCCGUGGCUCUAGAAAUGGAAUGGCAAGGCCCAGGUGGUAGCACAUCUGUGCACAGCAUGGUUUAUGGAAUACUGUAAGCCCACUGUUAGGCCCUCAGAAAAGGAGAUUCCUUUCAAAAUAUGACAGCUCAUCGACGGUGCGCCUGGUCACCCAAGAGCUCUGAGGCCAGUGUACAAGGGGUUUGUGUUUUCGUGCUGACACAGCAUCCGUUCUGCAGCCCAUGGGUCCAGAAGUCAUUCCAACUCUCACGUCUUACUGAAGAAAGACAUUUUCUAAGGCUGUAGCCGCCACAGGUAGUGAUUGCUUUGAUGGAUCUGAGCAAAGUAAAUGAAAAACUUUGAAUAACCAUUGUCCAACUUACCAGGGACAUUGAGAUGAGUGAGUGGGAGGCUCUGAGAAGCAGUUAUAAAAUGCAGAUUCUGCAAAUAUCUGGUUUAGUGUUUCAGAAACAGCCUUUUCAGGAUCUACUUCUCAGGGACCGCCUCCAACCCCAUCAGUGCCGCUCUUCCAGCAGCACGCCCACUGCAUGUCUCCUCGUGGUAAUUCUCGCAAUACGUCAAACUGUUAUUGUAUGUGUUGUGGUGACCUGUGGUGUCACUACUACCUUGGGACGCUCAUAUGAACCCCAAGGCACUUGGUGAAAACCCUUCCCAGGGAGUGGGCUUAGCGUGGGAAAGGAGGUUCCUCCUUGUCUUGCACACGCCAUGUCCUUGGAGGGCCCAGAGCCCCCGCGGUCACCUGUCUUGCGUGUUCUUCCAGGGGCAGCUGGCAGUGUGGCCUCACAGCACAUGCUUGUUCCAUGUCUUGCUCUUUUCGCAUAAUGUAGAUUGGAGGUUAUUCCGUGUGGAGCCCCUGGAGCCCCUGGGCUCUACUGCUGCUGUGACGUUUCUAUUCAGGGGUAUUUCCAGCUUAUGUGAGCCGUAUUAGCAAAGUGGCGGGAAACCAGCCCCACAUACCAUCCCUGGAGCCAGCGUGUCCACCUUUUGUGUCCUCCACGCCUCCAGAUCCCCACGCUGGUGUUGUGACACUCAUUCUAGCCUAGUUUCAUCCAUUAUUGUUUCCCUGAUGUAUCUCAAAGAGAUAAAAACUUUCAAAAGACCAUAAAACCACCAUUCCGCCACAGAAUUCCAAAUAUCCAAUCAAUGUUCAGAUCUUCCUAAUUGCCUUAUAAAUUGCUUCAUGUUUUAAGUUUGCUUGCUGGAAUCCGGCAGUGUCCGUGUGACCUUUACAACAUGACCUUUCUGUCUCCCCGACGCCAACGCUCUUUUCUUAGUUCAGCUAAAGAAGGGGCUUGUGCAUCCUGCACUCUGCUGACCGGGGCCCUGUGGUUUUGCGUGUUCUGCUCCGUCCUAUUGAGAGGUGGUCAGACCGAGGCCACAUCAGGCUCCCCUGCGAUUCCGUUGGCAGGAGCACCUCGGGGGUCUCAGGGCAUCUCUGUGGUGCUGUUGUGCCUUCCUCCACUGUUAGCUGGAAUAGUAAAGAGAAACUCAAGGUUCACGUUCCUCACUAAAACACCCGCUCUUCGAUUAUACGGAUGUUUCAUGCAUUUGUGAUACGGUUACUUACUGACGUACAUUUUGGCCAUUUUUAAUCAUUCAGUGUUUAACAUGCUGCUGUAGUAUUUGUAUAUAUACAUAAUUUCACUCAAGUGGCUCUAUGUGAAAUAAAUUCUAAAAAUUUCUAGUCAAAGAGCACACACAUUCAGCCCCAGUCUUGCUGUUCACCACCUGCAGCGGCUGUGCCAACCCACCCCCACCAGCGAUGGAGCACCUGCCUCAUGCCCUUACAGGGAGGGAAAGCAUCUUCUCACAUAUUUAUGAGCUGCUUUAUUUCCCUUUUGGUAAAUUAUUCUUCUCAUUAGCCCACUUUUCUACUGGUCAGUAUUUUCAUAAGGAAAACUCGCUGACGUGCUGCGAAUUUUUCUGCCAUUUGACAUUUUUAUAUUUAUGCCAUUGUGGUAUCAUCAAAUUAAAUGACUUUCAUUUAUGGAGUCCGAUUCAUUCUGAGACAAUGACUCCUGGUUGUGAAAUUCAAAAAAACAACAUUGUCCAAUUUUGCUUCUGGGAUUUCUACUUUUUAAUUACAUCUUUGAUACAACUGGAAUUUCUUUUGGUAAAGAGAUUACAGAUGCAAAUUUUUCUUUCCAUUUGGAUACCUGAUUGUCCCAACAUCGUUUAUAUCCUGCUUUUCCAGGAAUGCAAUGCCAUCUUUCUAUGUUGGUUGUGAACAUGCCUUUGGCACCUGGCAGGGCCAACCCUCACGGCAUGUGUGUGAACACAUCCCUAGUCUCAUUUACCCUGUUUUUGUAGUUUACGUGAGCAGAAUCCAGUAUCUGUGUUCCUGCAUCUGGUGUUCGCUCCACGUGUUUGGGGUGUGUGCAUAUCCGCUGUGUGUGGUGUGGACUUUAUCCAUGUGCCAUGUGCAAACGCCACCCCACCCAGAGGCCACGCCAGGACCCAGGCCUGUGGGCAGUGGUUCCCAGUUUGCUCUUGCAAGGACACUGUGUCCUCCUGCGUGAGAGUCCCUGCUUCGGGUCUAAUCCUGGGAGUGGAAGGCAGGUCGUGGGUGUGGCUGCGUUCUCAGCUUCUCUGGAUGAUACCCACCAAGAGGCUGCACACCUGGAGCCAGAGGGCCUGGCUGCACAGCUCCCUCGCACUGGGCUGGGCACUUGGUCACCGGCAGUUUGGGGAAUGUGUUCUCAUGGUGGUUUCAGGUGUGAGUCUGAGCAUCAACCCCAUGUCCGCUGGAUGCUGGAGCUCUUUCCUCUCUGGCGGUGUUUCUCAUCAGGGUUCCCCACCGGCCUACUGCACGCUGCGCCUCUCCUGACCUGUAGGAGUCCUCUGUGCCUCUGGCUGCUCACCUUUGUUGGUUUAAUGUCCGACAAAUGUCUUCCUUCGUUUUGUGGUUUGCUUUUUCAUUCUUCUAGUGGAACCUGUUGCUUUACAGAAGCAUCUACUUUCAACAGUCUUGUUUAAGACGGUGUCAGCACUGGGCUGGCCUGGUCCCUGAACUCAGGUGUGUUUCCUUUGCAAACUCUAGAGAAGAGAGACAAGGGAGGAAGGACAGGUAGCGGCAGAGCAUGUGGAAAUGUUUUCCAGGCAGGAUGGCUUUCCUUCAAGUGACAGCAUCAUUUGAGUGACAACAGUGGUAGGUUGUGUAAUGGAUUCUGACGUGGUGGGGGUAGGGGGCACGGCCAGGCUCCGAUUCCUCCUGCUGGGCCCAAGGACUGAGGACGGUGACGGGAGUGCACAGUCCCUCCUGUGUCCUGCCAGAGGCCAGAAACUUGGGUCCACCACUCUGCCGGAUGUGUCUUCAGGAACUUCCUCAGGAGGUACUGGGGUGCCAGGAAUGUCUGAAAGGCAUUUCUGGACACCUGCUGUGGCCUCAUACAGGAGAGUAGGCGACCUGGCCAAAGUCGGCACACAGGACGAGAUAAAGCAUCCAGGGAUGCGGGGUCACGGCCCUCACUCCACUGCAGGGGUGGGGAUGAGGGAGGCCAGAGGGGAUCAGACAGGGCCAGCUGUUGAUGGUUCUGAGAUGCAGUUUCUGUCUGAGGGGCCUCCUCCCACUCUUGGCCUCUGCAGAGGGGUGGGUGUGUGGAGGGAAGGUGGGUCUGCCCUGGUCGAACAGCACAGGCAUUGCCUGUCUCAUUCCAUUCCGAGUGCCCCCAGGGAGAGUCAGCCACCUUCUGCAGAGAGGCAAGGCCAGAAGGCAGGGGCCUCCCCUCUGGUGACCACCAAGGCCUGUGGUACAAGCAGUGCCGGCUGCUGUCCUCUCUGGCCCUUGUCUCCUUCCAGCCUCUCCGCUAUUAGCAGAGGGGCAGAAGUUCAUAGUAGACCACUUGACAGGUAGACACAGGCCACCCCCAACCCCUGGCCCUGGAGGAAGCUCCCCAGUGGCCUCCUGGAGCCAGGAGAGAUGGAACUGAGCUGUAUCU
RNA transcript from Rhinopithecus roxellana (golden snub-nosed monkey), 5450 nucleotides. RefSeq lists it as uncharacterized. The record is from RefSeq and is a predicted model, not a curated record. The transcript has a single exon. Lineage: Eukaryota; Metazoa; Chordata; Mammalia; Primates; Cercopithecidae.